This 863-nucleotide ribosomal RNA is filed under the name Trichoderma longibrachiatum. Its description in RNAcentral is "LSU rRNA". It matches the Rfam family "Eukaryotic large subunit ribosomal RNA", at positions 71 to 963 of the family's 3401-position model. Lineage: Eukaryota; Fungi; Ascomycota; Sordariomycetes; Hypocreales; Hypocreaceae. The record is from RNAcentral.
GGGAUUGCCCCAGUAACGGCGAGUGAAGCGGCAACAGCUCAAAUUUGAAAUCUGGCCCUUACGGGUCCGAGUUGUAAUUUGUAGAGGAUGCUUUUGGCAAGGCGCCGCCCGAGUUCCCUGGAACGGGACGCCACAGAGGGUGAGAGCCCCGUCUGGCUGGCCGCCGAGCCUCUGUAAAGCUCCUUCGACGAGUCGAGUAGUUUGGGAAUGCUGCUCAAAAUGGGAGGUAUAUGUCUUCUAAAGCUAAAUAUUGGCCAGAGACCGAUAGCGCACAAGUAGAGUGAUCGAAAGAUGAAAAGCACCUUGAAAAGAGGGUUAAAUAGUACGUGAAAUUGUUGAAAGGGAAGCGCUUGUGACCAGACUUGGGCGCGGCGGAUCAUCCGGGGUUCUCCCCGGUGCACUUCGCCGCGUCCAGGCCAGCAUCAGUUCGUCGCGGGGGAAAAAGGCUUCGGGAACGUGGCUCCCUCGGGAGUGUUAUAGCCCGUUGCGUAAUACCCUGCGGUGGACUGAGGACCGCGCAUCUGCAAGGAUGCUGGCGUAAUGGUCACCAGCGACCCGUCUUGAAACACGGACCAAGGAGUCGUCUUCGUAUGCGAGUGUUCGGGUGUCAAACCCCUACGCGUAAUGAAAGUGAACGCAGGUGAGAGCUUCGGCGCAUCAUCGACCGAUCCUGAUGUUCUCGGAUGGAUUUGAGUAAGAGCAUACGGGGCCGGACCCGAAAGAAGGUGAACUAUGCCUGUAUAGGGUGAAGCCAGAGGAAACUCUGGUGGAGGCUCGCAGCGGUUCUGACGUGCAAAUCGAUCGUCAAAUAUGGGCAUGGGGGCGAAAGACUAAUCGAACCUUCUAGUAGCUGGUUUCCGCCG